This 468-nucleotide ribosomal RNA is filed under the name uncultured bacterium. RNAcentral describes it as "partial 16S ribosomal RNA". It matches the Rfam family "Bacterial small subunit ribosomal RNA", at positions 28 to 507 of the family's 1533-position model. The record is from RNAcentral.
GACGAACGCUGGCGGCGUGCUUAACACAUGCAAGUCGAACGGAAAGGCUCUGCUUUUUUGGGGUUCUCGAGUGGCGAACGGGUGAGUAACACGUGAGUAACCUGCCCUUGACUUUGGGAUAACUUCAGGAAACUGGGGCUAAUACCGGAUAGGAGCUCCUGCUGCAUGGUGGUGGUUGGAAAGUUUCGGCGGUUGUGGAUGGACUCGCGGCUCACCAGCUUGUUGGUGGGGUAGUGGCUUACCAAGGAUUUGACGGGUAGCCGGCCUGAGAGGGUGACCGGCCACAUUGGGACUGAGAUACGGCCCAGACUCCUACGGGAGGCAGCGGUGGGAGAUAUUGCACAAUGGGCGGAAGCCUGAUGCAGCAACGCCGCGUGCGAGAUGACGGCCUUCGGGUUGUAAACCGCUUUCGCCUGUGACGAAGCGUGAGUGACGGUAAUGGGUAAAGAAGCAACGGCUAACUACGUG